This 65-nucleotide transfer RNA is filed under the name Sarcophaga shnitnikovi. Its description in RNAcentral is "tRNA-Leu". The record is from RNAcentral. Lineage: Eukaryota; Metazoa; Arthropoda; Insecta; Diptera; Sarcophagidae.
ACUAUUUUGGCAGAUUAGUGCAAUAAAUUUAGAAUUUAUUUAUGUGAAUUUUAUCACAGAUAGUA